GGGGGGUGGAUCGGAAGGAUCGCAUAGACUCUAAAUCUAUGUAGCCGGGUGCGACUCCCGGACUCCCCGCCA
RNAcentral lists this transfer RNA (72 nucleotides) under Thermacetogenium phaeum DSM 12270. RNAcentral describes it as "tRNA-Sup (CTA) (tRNA-Sup-CTA-1-1)". Lineage: Bacteria; Bacillati; Bacillota; Clostridia; Thermoanaerobacterales; Thermoanaerobacteraceae. The record is from RNAcentral.